ACAUCCAGCGAACUUGGCAGAGAUGCCUUGGUGCCUUCGGGAACGCUGAGACAGGUGCUGCAUGGCUGUCGUCAGCUCGUGUUGUGAAAUGUUGGGUUAAGUCCCGNAACGAGCGCGACCCUUAUCCUUUGUUGCCAGCGAUUCGGUCGGGAACUCAAAGGAGACUGCCGGUGAUAAACCGGAGGAAGGUGGGGAUGACGUCAAGUCAUCAUGGCCCUUACGAGUAGGGCUACACACGUGCUACAAUGGCGCAUACAAAGAGAAGCGACCUCGCGAGAGCAAGCGGACCUCAUAAAGUGCGUCGUAGUCCGGAUCGGAGUCUGCAACUCGACUCCGUGAAGUCGGAAUCGCUAGUAAUCGUGGAUCAGAAUGCCACGGUGAAUACGUUCCCGGGCCUUGUACACACCGCCCGUCACACCAUGGGAGUGGGUUGCAAAAGAAGUAGGUAGCUUAACCUCCGGGAGGGCGCUUACCACUUUGUGAUUCAUGACUGGGGUGAAGUCGUAACAAGGUAGGCGUAGCGAG
RNAcentral lists this ribosomal RNA (525 nucleotides) under uncultured bacterium. RNAcentral describes it as "bacterial SSU rRNA". It matches the Rfam family "Bacterial small subunit ribosomal RNA", at positions 984 to 1509 of the family's 1533-position model. The record is from RNAcentral.